Molecule: ribosomal RNA, 406 nt
Filed under: uncultured bacterium
Lineage: Bacteria
Description: partial 16S ribosomal RNA
Rfam family: Bacterial small subunit ribosomal RNA
Source: RNAcentral
AUUGAACGCUGGCGGCAGGCCUAACACAUGCAAGUCGAACGAGUGGCGGACGGGUGAGUAAUGUCUGGGAAACUGCCUGAUGGAGGGGGCUAACUACUGGAAACGGUAGCUAAUACCGCAUAACAUCAGAUGUGCCCAGAUGGGGGUGGCUUGUUGGUGGGGUAACGGCUCACCAAGGCGACGAGCCCUAGCUGGUCCGAGAGGAUGACCAGACACACUGGAAUGGGGACGAGGUGCAUACUCCGACGGGAGGCAGAAGUGGGAAAGAUUGCACAAUGGGCGCAAGCCUGAUGCAGCCAUGCCGGUUGUAUGAAGAAGGCCUUCGGGGUGUAAAGUACUUUCAGCGGGGAGGCGUUACCCGCAGAAGAAGCACCGGCUAACUCCGUGCCAGCAGCCGCGGUAAUAC